CCGGGUGUGGUGCAGCCAGUUUCGUCCAGGCCGGGAGUUCGUUGCUUCCUCUUCUCUGCGUGCGGCUGUCAUCGCGAUUUGUUUUUAGGUGGCUGUGCAUUCCACUGCACCAGGGUUGAUGUCGUCUAAGAUGUCGUGAUGGUGGCAGCAUCAACAUUACAGUCCACAGACUGGGCAGUCCCCAGACCUCUUAACGGUUCCAGAGAGUUCUCUGGCCAAAGACUGGUGCUGCAUCUGUUGGCCAAUGUUGACAAUCUCAUCAAAGGUGACACUUGCCCUGUGCUUGAUGCUUUUCUACUUCUUUCUGUCUCCUGGCAUUCCUCGAGGACUUCGAUGAUCAGGGCAGAGGCGGAAGCUACCCCCUCAGUCUGGGCCUGUCUGUUCUGAAUGGUCAGUUUCGCUGCUGUCCUCAGACCCAGGCACCAGUUGCUUUGGCGAUGUCAUCACCAAACUUUUUGGGAGACAGACGCAGAGGGCUGAUCUUGGGGGAUGUGGCAGCAGCUUUCCCACCAGUGCACCUCAAGUACACAACUUUGAAAAACCAUGGCGAGGGGCUGGCCCUGUGGCCGAGUGGUUAAGUUCACGCGCUCCGCUGCAGGCGGCCGAGUGUGUCAUUGGUUUGAAUCCUGGGCGCGGACAUGGCACUGCUCAUCAAACCACGCUGAGGCGGCAUCCCACAUGCCACAACUAGAAGGACCCACAACGAAGAAUAUACAACUAUGUACCGGGGGGCUUUGGGGAGAAAAAGGAAAAAAAAAAAUCUUAAAAAAAAACAAAAAAGAAAAAAAAAAUGAAAAACCAUGGCGAGGUGGCCAUGCCAGAAGCCUUGACGGUGCGUGUGUUGUCAGGCCUGAGGGCCUCGAACACCCUUGUCCGGGGCAGUGCUAACCUCUCUCCUUUUACACAACUCUCCUCGGUCUCCUAAUCUGGAACAAUCUCCUGCCUUUUUUAUCUCCUAAGGCAUUGACUUUGAAGAAUCAAGCUAGCUGACUUAAGAAAUGUCCCCUAUUCUGGAUUCAUCGGAUUGUUUCCUUAUGAAAGUGUGCCAUUUUGAAAAAUAUAUAGUAGAACGCAUUUAUCUGCCAAUUUGCGCUGCCGUCUCCACCCGUCCCUCCGUCGUCUUUCCAGCUCAGCUGAUGGCUCCAGCAUGUCUUCGUGUCCAGCUGGGCCUUCACCUCUCUCUUCUCCUCCCUCCUGCGCAGCCCGUCCACUCAGCCUCGAAAACAUAGCCAGACUCUGGCAGCCCUGCCUCCCUGCCGAUGCCCUGGUCCAAGCCACCGAUUUCUCUAUCGGAACCCCCAAGCUGGGCUCUCUGCUCUCACGUGGGCCUGGACACUCCACUCCUCUCAGUCUGGGUGCAGAUUUCUAGAGAGAUGAUGACUUGAGCCCGUGUCCCUCGUUCCUCACUUCCGACUCUCUCUUUGGGCAAAAACAACAACCAGGAAAGGAAGACACAUGGGGUUGAACGACAGGAGGAAGGGGAUGAGCCUUGGGACCCCCAGAAGGUGACAGUGUGCCUCACCGGCCGUCGUGUCUGAGUCUUCCUGCUUGCUGGGUUGCCAGUCCCAGUCAGCUGUUGAAAAUGAGAAGGGUUCUCCUCCCCCAGCUUAACAUUCCGCCAAGACCACCCGCCACGCUGCUUAGAGCACGCUCCCAGCUCCUGGCCCUGGGCAGCCAGCUCGGCACGGCCCUUCUGCCCACCGCUCGCUCGCCCUCAAUCACUCGGUUUUCUUUCUGGCUCCUGAGCAGGCUGAGCCUUUUUCUGCCUCAGGGCCUUUGCAGUCUCCUCUGCCUGGAAUGUUCCCCCCCCGCCCUCCCAUCCCCGAUCUUCUCACCAGAGGCCCCUUCUCCUCCUGCAGGUCUCAACUGGAACCUCCCUUCCCUGACCACCAUUUUAAACUAGUCCACUUGCCCCCAACUACUCGCUCUCUCAUUCCGUGAUCCACGUCUAUAUCCUUCGCAGCACUCCCUUAUCUGGCGCUCCAGUAUCUGGAACUCUCUGACUGGUUGUGUGUGCGCACCCCACGAGAAUACUGAUACCCACCCAGGCUGAGCACUCACACUGCACCCCGCGCGGUUCUGAGCAUGCGCUUUAGCUUCUAGCUUCACAACAGCCCUGGGAGGAAGGCACGAUGCUCUCUCAGAUUUCACUGGUGUGGAAACUGAGGCACAGAGAGGUAAUGUGGGGUCACCAGGGAGUCUGGCUCCAGCUCCGAGUUCUUGACCGUGACACUCUCAGAACCUGCAUUUAAGCACCGCAAAGAUUAGGGCUUUUUCUGUUACUUUCUCUGCUCCGAUGGCAGCUUUCGGCACUGAGGACCCAAACGGCCUGAAUCGGGCUCCAAUCCCAAGAAACAGCAUUUCAUCUUCUUGCUGGGACGGGCGGCGGAGCCAUUUCAGCAAGCCAAGGGCCUCAGGAACAGUUCACCAGGUCGCACGUUUGGGAGUGGCAGAGUCAACGGCUUCAGGGAGCUCUCGGGAAUAGGUUGCUGGUGUGGAAAAACCAAAGCCGAGGCCAGGCUGCUGCAGGUUCGUGGCUGACUCUAAGAAGCUAACCAUGUGUGGCUAUUUAAACAUAGAUUAGGGGCGGGCCUGGUGGCGCAGGGGUUAAGUGCGCACAUUCUGCUACUUUGUGGCCCGGGGUUUGCGGGUUCGGAUCCCAGGUGCGGACAUAGCACCGCUUGUCAAGCCAUGCUGUGGUAGGCAUCCCACAUAGAAAGUGGAGGAAGAUGGGCACAGAUGUUAGCUCUGGGCCAGUCUUCCUCAGCAAAAAGAAAAAGGAGGAUUGGCAGCAGAUGUUGGCUCAGGGCUAAUCUUCCUCAAAAAAAUAAAUAAAAAUAAAAAAUAAAUGUAAAUUAAUUAAAAUGAAAUAGAAUGUGUUCCUCAAUUGCACUAGCUACCUUUCCACUCUCAGUAGAAGCAUAAGGCUAGGGGCUGCCCUACUUGACAGCACAGAUCUAGAACAUUCUCAGAUCUAGAACAUUCUCAUCAUGCCGGAAAGUUCUGUUGGACAGUGCCAGUGUAGAUGGACCGUGAUUUCGCUUUCCUGGAGGUGAAUCACAAAGGUCACGGCGGGGUAUUUAUCCAAAUUAUUCAUAGGACAUUGCCCGGCAGUGGGCUUCUUCCAGCCAUGGACAAGGAUCUUCUUCUGGAGAACUGUGUCCCCACUGACCUGGCAUUUGUCUGAAAUUCCGUAUUUCCAAGAACUCCCUUGCAAUGGGGUACCUGAGUUAAUGUUUACACCAAAAAUGUUAGGGGCCUUCCAGAACCUUGACAGGACUGUUGAAUUCGAGAAAACACUCUGCAGACCUCUGCUGGGACACAUUGCUGCAGCCCGAGGAGGCGGGGAGGAAGCAGAGACGGGAAGGAGCUGGCCAGCUUCCUGCCUGGCUUUCAGAUGGGCUGGGGUGCUCACACACUGCCUUUGGGGCUACGAGCUGCCCCGCCGGCCGCCACCUGAUCUCUGUAACACACUGUCUAAAUUGCCUCCUGAUGGCGGGUCGUGAUCGCGAGUGGCGAAGGCCUCCGUCCAGCACGGCAUGUUGUCCUUCACUGCUUGUUCAUUGUCAAGCUGUGUAGAUGAGGUCCGGGGGCAGAUCUGUGAGUUUAGGGACAAAGAAGAACAAAUCCUUUUGGCCAGGGGGUGAGGGUGGGAAGCAAGUCCCGAAUGCUUAUUUAUGAAGCACGGGUUGUUUCCUUGUUUCCAAGGCAGCCACGGCUUCGCGGAGCUGAUGGAGCGCAUCCUUCUUGUCAGAACUGAAACAACUACUUUUAGAAAGGCAUGCGUGUGCGUGUGAAAAAUUAAAAAUGGAAGACAGUAAACAGGGCGUUUUUCUCUUGCGUCCCUGUCUGUGGCCCUCUGUUCCCUCUGACUUAGUCUGUUCGGGCAGCUGGAGCAAAGCACCACCCACUGGGGGCUUCCACAGCAGACAUUUGCUCCUCACAAUUCUGGAGGCUGAAGUCCCACGUCAAGAUGUCAGCAGACCUGGGCGCUGGUGCGAGCCGCCUUCCUGGUCCCUGGACGGCUGUGUGCUCUGUGUCCUCGUGGUGGAAGCAGCCAAGCUGCUCUCUGGGGUCUUUCUCAUCAGCUCACUAAUCCCAGGGUGAGGGCUCCACCCUUACGGCCUAAUCUCCUCCUGGAGGCCCUCCUCCCGUUCCAUCACAUCGAGGGGAGGUUUCAGCACAGGAAUUGCGGGUGGAAAAGGAGUUCAGACCGUAUCAGUUCCCCUCCCACAUGGGUACCAGUUUCUUGUGUGCCCUGGAAAUUCCAUGUAUUUGCAAGGCUGUUUACAUUCCCUUUUCCCUACGUAAAUGAAAGCAUAUCAUGUACACUCUUUAUAACUUGCUUUUUUUGCUUAGGAAUAUAGUUUGAGAAGAACUUUUUUAUUAGUAUAUGUAGAUCUGUCCCAUUCUUGUUCCCAGGUACAAAAUAUUGUGUUGUGUCAGACCAGCGCCCUGUGCAGCGGUUAAAUUCACAUGUUUCGCUAUGGCGGCCUGGGGUUCUCUGGUUCGGAUCCCGGGUGCGGACAUGGCAUCACUUGUCAAGCCAUGCUGUGGCAGGCACCCCAUGUAUAAAGUAGAGGAAGAUGGGCAUGGAUGUUAGCUCAGGGUCAGUCUUCCUCAGCAAAAAGAGGAGGAUUGGCAUUAGUUAGCUCAAGGCUAAUCUUCCUCAAAAAAAAAAAAAUUCUAUUGUGUAGAUUUGUACUAACAGUGCAGCCACUAAUCACAUGUGGCUGUUUAAAUUUAAAUUAAGUAAAAUUUAAUAAAAUUCGUUUCUCAAUUGCUAGCCAUAUUUCAAGUGCUCAGUAGAAGGGUUUGACUGAAGCUAACACACAGAACAGAUGGUGCUGGUGCGGAUGGGCCGUAACUUAGUAAGGCAAUCCCCUACUGCUGGAUAUUCACCUUGCUUCCAAUAUUUUGCUACUAUAAUCAGUGCAACAAAGGCUACUGUUGCACCUAGAUCUUUGCCCGUGUGCGUGUGUGUCUGAAAGAUAAACUUCUCAGGGGAACUCGCUGGGUCAAAGGGCAUAUGCAUUUUCAAUGUACACACCCUUUGCCAAAUCCCCCUCCACAGAGGUUAUACAAAUUUACCCUGCUGCCAGCCGGAGUCCACACCGCCGGCCUCCCGCCCCUGGGCCGGCACAGGGGGCUUCUCAGACUUUGAUCUCUGCCCGUCCCCUAGGUGAACAACGGUAUCUCAUAUAGUUUUAGCCUAAAAGUUAUUUUACGUUUCCCCCUAACACGAUAAGGACCUCAUUCAUUAUUCCCCUUGACAAAGUCACUUUCAACGUGAAAAACAUUUCUCGGAGCUUUUUUGUGUCUCACUUGGAGACUUUGUCCUCCGGGAGGGCGUCUCAUGUUUGUAUUGAUUGCCUCAUCCAUCACGGCUGUUGAACUGUGCGCUGCUAAUGAUUAGCUAUGGUGGGUGCAGAGGAACAGGUGAAACUGGACGUGGAGGGCUCAGCGCGGUGCCCGGCAGUGAGGGUGCCCGGCUGUCACUUCUGAAAGAACGUGUGAUGUUUUCCACGGGAGGCUUAGCUACCAGGUGCGGCUUGUUCGCUGGCCUGAACAAGCAAGGGCUGUUCCCUGGCCUCAGCCUCAGUGACUGGGUCACUGAUUUGCUCUUGGAAUCCAAAAUUCAUGCAGCCGCAGGCACACUGGACUGUUGACGUAGGUCCGCAGCGGCGCUAUCCCAACAGCCGAAAGGUGGGAACACCCCAAACGUCCACCGAUGGCCGAAUGGAUAAAUAAAAUGUGGUCCAUCCAUACAAAGGAGGAGUAUUCAGCCAUGAAAAGGAAGGGAAUUCUGACACACGCUGCAACAUGGACGAAUCUUGAGGCCAUUACGCUGAGUGAAAUAAGCCAGUCACAGAAGGACAAAUGCUGUGUGAUUCCAGUCAUGUGAGGGACCAGGAGGAGUCAAACUCAUGGCGACAGAGAGAGGAAGGGGGGUUGCCAGGGGCUGGGACGGUCAGUGGGAAGUUGUUGCUGAAGGGGGACAGAGUGUCAGUUGGGAAAAUGGAAGAGUUCCGGACACGGAUGGUGGGGAGGGUUGCAAACAAUGUCAGUGUACUUAACGCCCCUGAACUAAACACUCGGAAAACGGUUAAAAUGGUAAAAUAUAUAUAUAUGUAUAUAGUGGCAAGACAUAGAAAAGUGGUUAGGAAAUAGGCAGAG
Molecule: long non-coding RNA, 6177 nt
Filed under: Equus caballus (horse)
Lineage: Eukaryota; Metazoa; Chordata; Mammalia; Perissodactyla; Equidae
Description: lncRNA (ENSECAG00000051158.1)
Source: RNAcentral